This is a non-coding RNA of Castor canadensis (American beaver), 620 nucleotides long. NCBI's taxonomy places the organism in Eukaryota, Metazoa, Chordata, Mammalia, Rodentia, Castoridae. The record is from RefSeq and is a predicted model, not a curated record.
CCCCAUGCUGCUCGGAGCGUCCUGGCUGUGCGCGUCCAAGGCGGCCGCCGCUGCUGCGCAGAGCGAGGGCGACGAGGACAGGCAGGGUGAGCGGCGGCGGCGGCGGGUGGCAGCCUUGGGGACUAGCGAGGAUAUGGACGAGUCGUCGCUGCUGGACCUGCUGGAGUGCUCCGUGUGCCUGGAGCGCCUGGAUACCACGGCCAAGGUGCUGCCAUGCCAGCACACCUUCUGCCGCCGCUGUCUGGAGAGCAUCGUGUGCUCGCGCCACGAGCUGCGCUGCCCCGAGUGCCGCAUCCUGGUGGGCUGCGGCGUGGACGACCUGCCCGCCAACAUAUUGCUGGUGCGCCUGCUGGACGGCAUCCGCCAGAGACCCCGCACCGGCGCCAGCCCUGGCGGUAGUCCGCCAGCGCGCCCCGGUCCCAGUACGUCCCCAGCGCUAGCGGGCGGCGGGGGCGGCGCAGCGGGCAGCGCCCUCGGCUCCCCGGUCUUCCUCCCCGUGGCGGCGGGCAGUGCCACCUCCAGCCUGUGCGAGCUGGAGACCAACCGUAGCGUGCCAGUGGCAAAGGUAAGAAUUUGCCCCGCAGAAUGACUCCACUAUGUGUGGGAAUGUGAAUGCGUGU